RNAcentral lists this ribosomal RNA (1291 nucleotides) under Nematoda environmental sample. RNAcentral describes it as "SSU rRNA". It matches the Rfam family "Eukaryotic small subunit ribosomal RNA", at positions 39 to 1340 of the family's 1831-position model. Lineage: Eukaryota; Metazoa; Nematoda. The record is from RNAcentral.
AAAGAUUAAGCCAUGCAUGUCUAAGCAUAAACCGAAUAUGGUAAAGCCGCGAAUGGCUCAUUACAACAGCCAUAGUUUAUUGGAUCUUAGAGUCCUACUUGGAUACCUGUGGUAAUUCUAGAGCUAAUACACGCAAUCAAGCCCCAACCUUACGGGCGGGGCGCAUUUAUUAGAACAAAACCAAUUGGCUUCGGCCAUAGCUUGGUGAAUCUGAAUAACUACGCUGAUCGCACGGGCUUGUCCCGGCGACGUAUCCUUCAAGUGUCUGCCUUAUCAACUUUCGAUGGUAGUUUAUAUGACUACCAUGGUUGUAACGGGUAACGGAGAAUAAGGGUUCGACUCCGGAGAGGGAGCCUGAGAAACGGCUACCACAUCCAAGGAAGGCAGCAGGCGCGCAAAUUACCCACUCUCAGAACGAGGAGGUAGUGACGAAAAAUAACGAGACAGUUCUCUAUGAGGUCUGUCAUCGGAAUGGGUACAAUCUAAACCCUUUAACGAGGAUCUAUUGGAGGGCAAGUCUGGUGCCAGCAGCCGCGGUAAUUCCAGCUCCAAUAGCGUAUAUUAAAGUUGUUGCGGUUAAAAAGCUCGUAGUUGGAUCUGCGGUCACAGACGCUGGUUUCCUUCACGGAAUACUGGUUGUCUUGACCUACCUUGCUGGUUUUCCCUUGGUGCUCUUUACUGAGUGCCCUGGGUGGCUAGCACGUUUACUUUGAAAAAAUUAGAGUGCUUAACGCAGGCUUUUGCCUGAAUAGUGGUGCAUGGAAUAAUGGAAUAGGACCUCGGUUCUAUUUUGUUGGUUUUCGGAGCACGAGGUAAUGAUUAAGAGGGACAGACGGGGGCAUUCGUAUUGCUGCGUUAGAGGUGAAAUUCUUGGAUCGUAGCAAGACGACCUACUGCGAAAGCAUUUGCCAAGAAUGUUUUCAUUAAUCAAGAACGAAAGUUAGAGGUUCGAAGGCGAUCAGAUACCGCCCUAGUUCUAACCGUAAACGAUGUUAACUAGCGACUCGCAGGUGUUACUUUAACGGCCCUGCGAGGAGCUCCCGGGAAACCUAAGUGUUCGAAUUCCGGGGGAAGUAUGGUUGCAAAGCUGAAACUUAAAGGAAUUGACGGAAGGGCACCACCAGGAGUGGAGCUUGCGGCUUAAUUUGACUCAACGCGGGGAAACUCACUUGGUCAGGACACUGUAAGGAUUGACAGAUUGAAAGCUCUUUCUUGAUUCGGUGGAUGGUGGUGCAUGGCCGUUCUUAGUUGGUGGAGUGAUUUGUCUGGUUAAUUCCGAUAACGAGCGAGA